UCCCUUAUAGUCCAGUGGUUAGGAUACUCCGCUUUCAAUCCCUUUGGAAGCGUUCCGGAGAGACCCGAGUUCGAACCUCGGUGAGGGAA
This 89-nucleotide transfer RNA is filed under the name Colletotrichum cereale. RNAcentral describes it as "tRNA-Glu". It matches the Rfam family "tRNA". From Rfam's summary of the family: Transfer RNA (tRNA) molecules are approximately 80 nucleotides in length. Their secondary structure includes four short double-helical elements and three loops (D, anti-codon, and T loops). Further hydrogen bonds mediate the characteristic L-shaped molecular structure. tRNAs have two regions of fundamental functional importance: the anti-codon, which is responsible for specific mRNA codon recognition, and the 3' end, to which the tRNAs corresponding amino acid is attached (by aminoacyl-tRNA synthetases). tRNAs cope with the degeneracy of the genetic code in two manners: having more than one tRNA (with a specific anti-codon) for a particular amino acid; and 'wobble' base-pairing, i.e. permitting non-standard base-pairing at the 3rd anti-codon position. The record is from RNAcentral. Lineage: Eukaryota; Fungi; Ascomycota; Sordariomycetes; Glomerellales; Glomerellaceae.